This is a non-coding RNA of Chelonoidis abingdonii (Abingdon island giant tortoise), 222 nucleotides long. The record is from RefSeq and is a predicted model, not a curated record. Lineage: Eukaryota; Metazoa; Chordata; Testudines; Testudinidae.
CAACUUGUGCCAGAGCCUUGGCUCCAAGCACUGCCGGCAUUCCCAGUCACAGCCCUGUCACUGUGAUAACUUUCUGUCCACUUAUCAAACACUGCUGCGGAAUAAUGUCCAUGUUUCGCUCCAGUUCAUCCCAUCCUCUCGUUGGACAGCGGAGAGAAAUGGCUGCAGAGGAGCCAGUUCAGGGGCCGGUGACCUUCGAGGAGGUGGCUGUGUAUUUCACCA